GAACGGUGGCUUCACCGAGGGGAUCCCGCGGUACAUGACGAUAAAGUUGGCCUGACCGUAUCGGAUGCCAACCUUGUUGUGGUUGGUUGCGGCGAAAAGGAGACAAAUGGAGAGGGAGAGAGAGGCCGUGUAGGGGGGAGUGGAUGUGAUGCCUUGCACCCCCACCUGGUACAAAUUCGAACUGUGGCUUUACGGUCAGGAGAAAGUACUGACAAAAACCCUGUGGCACAGAAAAGUGAGAGAGAGAGAAAAAAAUUGAAUGACGUUUGUUCUUGUUUAACAGAAAGGACUAUUUUGACUCAAGUUUAAAAGUAAGGAUUAAUUUCAAACACUUUUCUAAAGAGAGACUAAAUUGAGAUUUGUCAACCAAACUAGGGACGAAGUUGGCUAUUAAAACUUUUUACAACAUCUUAUACAUCUCCUUUCAUUAGACCUUUCAAACACAAACAUAAGAAAACUUCCCGACUCAACCGGUUCACUUUGUAACCUGCAAGUGUUAAAGUUGAACGCGUGUUUCUACUUGAAGGAGCUGCCCUCGACUUUGCCCGAACUUAGCAAUUUGCG
This 564-nucleotide long non-coding RNA is filed under the name Vigna radiata. RNAcentral's name for it is "long non-coding RNA (VRAD_LNC000574)". Lineage: Eukaryota; Viridiplantae; Streptophyta; Magnoliopsida; Fabales; Fabaceae. The record is from RNAcentral.